Molecule: ribosomal RNA, 517 nt
Filed under: uncultured fungus
Lineage: Eukaryota; Fungi
Description: SSU rRNA
Rfam family: Eukaryotic small subunit ribosomal RNA
Source: RNAcentral
AUUAGAUAAAAAACCAAUGCCCUUCGGGGCUCCUUGGUGAUUCAUAAUAACUUAACGAAUCGCAUGGCCUUGCGCCGGCGAUGGUUCAUUCAAAUUUCUGCCCUAUCAACUUUCGAUGGUAAGAUAGUGGCUUACCAUGGUCUCAACGGGUAACGGGGAAUUAGGGUUCUAUUCCGGAGAGGGAGCCUGAGAAACGGCUACCACAUCCAAGGAAGGCAGCAGGCGCGCAAAUUACCCAAUCCCAAUUCGGGGAGGUAGUGACAAUAAAUACUGAUACGGGGCUCUUUCGGGUCUCGUAAUUGGAAUGAGUACAAUCUAAAUCCCUUAACGAGGAACAAUUGGAGGGCAAGUCUGGUGCCAGCAGCCGCGGUAAUUCCAGCUCCAAUAGCGUAUAUUAAAGUUGUUGCCGUUAAAAAGCUCGUAGUUGAACCUUGGACCUGGCUGAUCUGUCCUCCUAAUCGAGCGCACGGAUUCGGUCGGGUCUUUCCUUCUGGGGAGCCCUAUGCUCUUCACUGGG